RNAcentral lists this long non-coding RNA (403 nucleotides) under Ananas comosus (pineapple). RNAcentral describes it as "long non-coding RNA (ACOM_LNC020430)". The record is from RNAcentral. Lineage: Eukaryota; Viridiplantae; Streptophyta; Magnoliopsida; Poales; Bromeliaceae.
UUCUUCGGAACUAAUAUUAAAUAGGAAAAACUUUAAACGCCACCCUGUAAUUUUGUACUUUCUCACUUUAGUGUUCUAUGGUUUAAAAUGUAUCGUUUUCGUACCCUAUGGUUUUAUUUUUCUAUUUCUGUUAUCUCCUCCAUUAAUUUUUUUCGUUAAAUCAGUAACAAAGUUAAAUCUAAAGGAUAUUAAAGUGAAUAUUCGAUAAACUAUAGGUAGAGUAUUUGAAAUUUUUUGUAUAUGACUUAAUGAAAAGUUAACAGAGGGGCUGACGAAAAAAAAAAAAAAAAAUCACAGGAUACAAAAUUGAUACACUUUAAACUAUAGGGUUCUAAAGUAUGAAAGUACGAAACCAUAUGGAUGGUAUUUGAAGUUUACCCUAUUAAAUAAUUGUUUGGUAGAC